Molecule: ribosomal RNA, 450 nt
Filed under: uncultured bacterium
Lineage: Bacteria
Description: bacterial SSU rRNA
Rfam family: Bacterial small subunit ribosomal RNA
Source: RNAcentral
AGCGAACGCUGGCGGCAGGCCUAACACAUGCAAGUCGAGCGCCCAGCAAUGGGAGCGGCAGACGGGAGAGUAACACGUGGGAACGUACCUUUCAGUUCGGAACAACCAAGGGAAACUUUGGCUAAUACCGGAUACGCCCGUAAGGGGAAAGAUUUAUCGCUGAAAGAUCGGCCCGCGUCUGAUUAGCUUGUUGGUGAGGUAACGGCUCACCAAGGCGACGAUCAGUAGCUGGUCUGAGAGGAUGAUCAGCCUCACUGGGACUGAGACACGGCCCAGACUCCUACGGGAGGCAGCAGUGGGGAAUAUUGGACAAUGGGCGCAAGCCUGAUCCAGCCAUGCCGCGUGGGUGAUGAAGGCCUUAGGGUUGUAAAGCUCUUUCAGCUGGGAAGAUAAUGACGGUACCAGCAGAAGAAGCCCCGGCUAACUCCGUGCCAGCCGCCGCAGUAACAC